RNAcentral lists this ribosomal RNA (486 nucleotides) under uncultured bacterium. Its description in RNAcentral is "partial 16S ribosomal RNA". It matches the Rfam family "Bacterial small subunit ribosomal RNA", at positions 28 to 507 of the family's 1533-position model. The record is from RNAcentral.
GAUGAACGCUGGCGGCGUGCCUAAUACAUGCAAGUCGAACGCUGGAGAUCUAGCUUGCUAGAUCGAAGGAGUGGCGAACGGGUGAGUAAUACAUAAGCAACCUACCCACGAAGACUGGGAUAAUCUCUGGAAACGGGGACUAAUACCGGAUAGGUAAUCGGAAGGCAUCUUCUGGUUAUUAAAGGUUAAAAACACUGGUGGAUGGGCUUAUGGCGCAUUAGUUAGUUGGUGAGGUAACGGCCCACCAAGACGAUGAUGCGUAGCCGGCCUGAGAGGGUGAACGGCCACAUUGGGACUGAGACACGGCCCAGACUCCUACGGGAGGCAGCAGUAGGGAAUUUUCGGCAAUGGGGGCAACCCUGACCGAGCGACGCCGCGUGAGUGAAGACGGCCUUCGGGUUGUAAAGCUCUGUUGUAAGGGAAGAACGGUAGAUAGAGAAUAUCUAAGUGACGGUACCUUACCAGAAAGCCACGGCUAACUACGUG